Brassica napus (rape) is the source of this 130-nucleotide non-coding RNA. The record is from Rfam. NCBI's taxonomy places the organism in Eukaryota, Viridiplantae, Streptophyta, Magnoliopsida, Brassicales, Brassicaceae.
AUCCCAGCUAAGUUAAUUAGUUACUUAUCUGAUUCAUGGAGGCCUAAACCAACGUUGCAAGUUUCGCCUUCAAUACCUUCUUUUUACUGUAGUCCCAGAAGGUGUUUUAUUAGUAACUUCGCUUACAUUU